This is a non-coding RNA of Cicer arietinum (chickpea), 46 nucleotides long. The record is from Rfam. Lineage: Eukaryota; Viridiplantae; Streptophyta; Magnoliopsida; Fabales; Fabaceae.
UAUCAGACUUUUUUCAAAGUCACACUCAGACUUAAAAAGUAAGCCU